AACGAACGCUGGCGGCGCGCCUAAUACAUGCAAGUCGAGCGAGAAGACGUAGCAAUACGUUUGUAAAGCGGCGAACGGGUGAGGAAUACAUGGGUAACCUACCCUCGAGUGGGGAAUAACUAGCCGAAAGGUUAGCUAAUACCGCGUACGCUCCUUGGACUUCGGUUCAGGGAGGAAAGCGAUACCGUGGGUAUCGCGCUCUUGGAUGGGCUCAUGUCCUAUCAGCUUGUUGGUGAGGUAACGGCUCACCAAGGCUUCGACGGGUAGCUGGUCUGAGAGGACGAUCAGCCACACUGGCACUGCGACACGGGCCAGACUCCUACGGGAGGCAGCAGUAAGGAAUAUUGCGCAAUGGGCGAAAGCCUGACGCAGCGACGCCGCGUGGGGAUGAC
This 392-nucleotide ribosomal RNA is filed under the name uncultured bacterium. RNAcentral's name for it is "bacterial SSU rRNA". It matches the Rfam family "Bacterial small subunit ribosomal RNA", at positions 29 to 412 of the family's 1533-position model. The record is from RNAcentral.